Molecule: long non-coding RNA, 1071 nt
Filed under: Macaca fascicularis (crab-eating macaque)
Lineage: Eukaryota; Metazoa; Chordata; Mammalia; Primates; Cercopithecidae
Description: lncRNA (ENSMFAG00000055979.1)
Source: RNAcentral
AUGCACCACACCACACAAACACAUCGCGCACACACCACACACACCCCACACACACACCACAGCACACACACCCUACAAACACACCGCACACACCACACCACACACACCACACUAUACACACCACACACACCACACUAUACACACCACACCACACUGUACACACCACAUACACAAACACCACACAGUACACCACACACACCACACUAUACACACCACACCACACUGUACACACCACACACACAAAUAGCACACACACACCCCACACACACCACAGCACACACACACCACACACAGCCCACACACCCUACAAACACACCGCACACACCACACCACACACACACUAUACACACCACACACACCACACUAUACACACCACACCACACUGUACACACCACACACACAAACACCACACAGUACACCACACACACCACACUAUACACACCACACCACACUGUACACACCACACACACAAAUAGCACACACACACCCCACACACACCACAGCACACACACACCACACACAGCCCACACACCCUACAAACACACCGCACACACCACACCACACACACCACUAUACACACCACACACACCACUAUACACACCACACCACACUGUACACACCACACAAACACCACACAGCACACCACACACACCACACUACACACAAACGGCACACUCACCCCACACACACACCACACACAGCCCACACACCCUACAAACACACCACACACACCACACACACAAACACCACACACACAACACACGCUAUACCAAAUACACCACACGCACACACACCACACAAACACACCACAUGCACCGAACACACCACAUGCACACAAACACACAAACACAAACCACACUACACACACCACACUACACACACCACACACAUACCCCACACCACCCCCACACAUGCCACACUACACACCCCACACACACUACAUUACACACAAACACACCACACACACACCCCACACACACACCCCACACUACACACCACACCACAGCCCCGCCCCCACCACCCACCUCCCGCGCCCCCCUCCCGCCUGCCGGUGUGUGGUGUGUGCUCUAG